AUUGCCAGUUCCCCCACCAAAUGUCCACUCUCAUGAUCUCACAGAUGAAAUCUGGUGGUUAAAGGGUCUGGUUCUACAUGGGGCACCACAGGCAGGAACCCAUACAGGGCAUCUCAGCAAUUCCCUGGUAAAGAGACCAUUUUUCUGCCUGGAUCAGGAAGAUCCAUUUUCCACCCAGCAAAGAGGGGCCAAUUUCCCUGCUUGUGUGACCUCUUGAAGCAAACUGGUGCCAUGAAGGAAGCAGAAGAAAAUAGCUGAAAAUGGGGAGAGAGGCAGCCCGAGAGCGAGCUGGUGCCUUGUGGACUGAGAUAGGCUCUUUGCCUGCUUUGUUAUAAUACUUCAUUGGAACUGACACAUUGAUAGCCACAGUUUUUCUAGGAAGUGACCUUCAUGCUGCCCAUUGAUUCCCAGUGGCCAUCAACUCCUUGCAAUUGGAAUGACAGGCCAGGUUAAAGG
Pipra filicauda (Wire-tailed manakin) is the source of this 456-nucleotide long non-coding RNA. RefSeq lists it as uncharacterized. Lineage: Eukaryota; Metazoa; Chordata; Aves; Passeriformes; Pipridae. The record is from RefSeq and is a predicted model, not a curated record. The transcript is spliced from 3 exons.